AACGCUAGCUACAGGCUUAACACAUGCAAGUCGAGGGGCAGCAUGAACUUAGCUUGCUAAGUUUGAUGGCGACCGGCGCACGGGUGAGUAACACGUAUCCAACCUGCCGAUGACUCGGGGAUAGCCUUUCGAAAGAAAGAUUAAUACCCGAUGGCAUAGUUCUUCCGCAUGGUAGAACUAUUAAAGAAUUUCGGUCAUCGAUGGGGAUGCGUUCCAUUAGGUUGUUGGCGGGGUAACGGCCCACCAAGCCUUCGAUGGAUAGGGGUUCUGAGAGGAAGGUCCCCCACAUUGGAACUGAGACACGGUCCAAACUCCUACGGGAGGCAGCAGUGAGGAAUAUUGGUCAAUGGACGAGAGUCUGAACCAGCCAAGUAGCGUGAAGGAUGACUGCCCUAUGGGUUGUAAACUUCUUUUAUAAGGGAAUAAAGUGAGGGACGUGUCCCUUUUUGUAUGUACCUUAUGAAUAAGGAUCGGCUAACUCCGUGCCAGCAGCCGCGGUAAUACGGAGGAUCCAAGCGUUAUCCGGAUUUAUUGGGUUUAAAGGGAGCGUAGGUUGACAUAUAAGUCAGCUGUGAAAGUUUACGGCUCAACCGUGAAAUUGCAGUUGAUACUGUAUGUCUUGAGUGUACAAGAGGUGGGCGGAAUUCGUGGUGUAGCGGUGAAAUGCUUAGAUAUCACGAAGAACUCCGAUUG
RNAcentral lists this ribosomal RNA (693 nucleotides) under uncultured bacterium. RNAcentral describes it as "bacterial SSU rRNA". It matches the Rfam family "Bacterial small subunit ribosomal RNA", at positions 32 to 715 of the family's 1533-position model. The record is from RNAcentral.